GAAAACUAUCGACUCGAAUCAAGGCCCUUGUGAACUUGAUGCAGGUGUUCCAAUGUUCAAUACACUUAACGAAACACUAAUCGGGAUAGCGACACCAAUUUUAUCGUGUGAAAAAGAUGAGUUGGACGUAUACACCUACGUGCCUGCGCAUAAAGAAUGGAUAGAGGAGAACGCCACUGCUGGAACAUUCUUUGUUUCAAAUCAUCAGAUUUUGUGGCUAUUGAUUUCGUUCUAUUACUUAUUUGAGUUAUUAUUGCUGUAA
Molecule: long non-coding RNA, 262 nt
Organism: Sitodiplosis mosellana (orange wheat blossom midge)
Lineage: Eukaryota; Metazoa; Arthropoda; Insecta; Diptera; Cecidomyiidae
Exons: 3
Source: RefSeq, a predicted model, not a curated record